Molecule: microRNA precursor, 110 nt
Filed under: Gorilla gorilla (western gorilla)
Lineage: Eukaryota; Metazoa; Chordata; Mammalia; Primates; Hominidae
Also listed under: 1 other name
Description: microRNA ggo-mir-296 precursor
Gene: ggo-mir-296
Rfam family: mir-296 microRNA precursor family (bases 8-86)
Source: miRBase by way of RNAcentral
AGGAGAAAGGACCCUUCCGGAGGGCCCCCCCUCAAUCCUGUUGUGCCUAAUUCAGAGGGUUGGGUGGAGGCUCUCCUGAAGGGCUCUGAAGAGCACUGCACCCGCAGCUG